GUCCACGCCGUAAACGAUGGAUGCCAGCCGUUGGCAAGCAUGCUUGUCAGUGGCGCAGCUAACGCAUUAAGCAUCCCGCCUGGGGAGUACGGCCGCAAGGUUGAAACUCAAAGGAAUUGACGGGGGCCCGCACAAGCGGUGGAGCAUGUGGUUUAAUUCGACGCAACGCGCAGAACCUUACCAGGGUUUGACAUCCUGUGCUCACCUCAGAAAUGGGGUUUCCCCGCAAGGGGCGCAGAGACAGGUGCUGCAUGGCUGUCGU
Molecule: ribosomal RNA, 262 nt
Filed under: uncultured bacterium
Lineage: Bacteria
Description: partial 16S ribosomal RNA
Rfam family: Bacterial small subunit ribosomal RNA
Source: RNAcentral